This 277-nucleotide ribosomal RNA is filed under the name uncultured prokaryote. RNAcentral describes it as "partial 16S ribosomal RNA". It matches the Rfam family "Bacterial small subunit ribosomal RNA", at positions 524 to 801 of the family's 1533-position model. The record is from RNAcentral.
UACGUAGGUGGCGAGCGUUAUCCGGAAUUACUGGGCGUAAAGGGUGCGUAGGUGGUUUCUUAAGUCAGAGGUGAAAGGCUACGGCUCAACCGUAGUAAGCCUUUGAAACUGGGAAACUUGAGUGCAGGAGAGGAGAGUGGAAUUCCUAGUGUAGCGGUGAAAUGCGUAGAUAUUAGGAGGAACACCAGUUGCGAAGGCGGCUCUCUGGACUGUAACUGACACUGAGGCACGAAAGCGUGGGGAGCAAACAGGAUUAGAUACCCGUGUAGUCCCUGAG